UCGAGAAUUUUUCUCAAUGGGCGAAAGCCUGAAGGAGCGACGCCGCGUGGGGGAUGAAGGGCUUCGGCUCGUAAACCCCUGUCAUUUGCGAACAAACCUUACGAUCUAACACAUCGUGAGCUGAUUGUAGCGAAAGAGGAAGGGACGGCUAACUCUGUGCCAGCAGCCGCGGUAAUACAGAGGUCCCAAGCGUUGUUCGGAUUCACUGGGCGUAAAGGGUGCGUAGGUGGCAAGGUAAGUUUGAUGUGAAAUCUCCGGGCUUAACCCGGAAACUGCAUUGAAUACUAUCUUGCUUGAGGGUUGGAGGGGGGACUGGAAUUCUCGGUGUAGCAGUGAAAUGCGUAGAUAUCGAGAGGAACACCAGUGGCGAAGGCGAGUCCCUGGACAACUCCUGACACUGAGGCACGAAAGCUAGGGGAGCAAACAGGAUUAGAUACCCCUGUAGUCC
Molecule: ribosomal RNA, 448 nt
Filed under: uncultured bacterium
Lineage: Bacteria
Description: bacterial SSU rRNA
Rfam family: Bacterial small subunit ribosomal RNA
Source: RNAcentral